GACGAACGCUGGCGGCGUGCUUAACACAUGCAAGUCGAACGGAAAGGCCCCUUCGGGGGUACUCGAGUGGCGAACAGGUGAGUAACACGUGAGUAACCUGCCCUUGACUUCGGGAUAACUUCAGGAAACUGGGGCUAAUACCGGAUAGGAAUCCUUGCUGCAUGGUGGGGGUUGGAAAGCUUCGGCGGUUUUGGAUGGACUCGCGGCUUAUCAGCUUGUUGGUGGGGUAGUGGCUUACCAAGGCUUUGACGGGUAGCCGGCCUGAGAGGGCGACCGGCCACAUUGGGACUGAGAUACGGCCCAGACUCCUACGGGAGGCAGCAGUGGGGAAUAUUGCACAAUGGGCGGAAGCCGGAUGCAGCAACGCCGCGUGCGGGAUGACGGCCUUCGGGUUGUAAACCGCUUUCAGCAGGGGCGAAGCUUGUGGUGACGGUACCUGCAGAAGAAGCACCGGCUAACUACGUG
RNAcentral lists this ribosomal RNA (465 nucleotides) under uncultured bacterium. RNAcentral describes it as "partial 16S ribosomal RNA". It matches the Rfam family "Bacterial small subunit ribosomal RNA", at positions 28 to 507 of the family's 1533-position model. The record is from RNAcentral.